GUGGUUGUGGCUCAGUGGCAAAGCACUUGCCUAGCAUGUGUGAGGCACUGGGUUCAAUCCUCAGCACCACA
RNAcentral lists this transfer RNA (71 nucleotides) under Marmota marmota marmota (Alpine marmot). It matches the Rfam family "tRNA". From Rfam's summary of the family: Transfer RNA (tRNA) molecules are approximately 80 nucleotides in length. Their secondary structure includes four short double-helical elements and three loops (D, anti-codon, and T loops). Further hydrogen bonds mediate the characteristic L-shaped molecular structure. tRNAs have two regions of fundamental functional importance: the anti-codon, which is responsible for specific mRNA codon recognition, and the 3' end, to which the tRNAs corresponding amino acid is attached (by aminoacyl-tRNA synthetases). tRNAs cope with the degeneracy of the genetic code in two manners: having more than one tRNA (with a specific anti-codon) for a particular amino acid; and 'wobble' base-pairing, i.e. permitting non-standard base-pairing at the 3rd anti-codon position. The record is from Rfam by way of RNAcentral. Lineage: Eukaryota; Metazoa; Chordata; Mammalia; Rodentia; Sciuridae. RNAcentral also lists the same sequence under 2 other names.